Molecule: ribosomal RNA, 301 nt
Filed under: uncultured bacterium
Lineage: Bacteria
Description: partial 16S ribosomal RNA
Rfam family: Bacterial small subunit ribosomal RNA
Source: RNAcentral
CAGCAGCCGCGGUAAUACAGAGGGUGCGAGCGUUAAUCGGAUUUACUGGGCGUAAAGCGCACGCAGGCGGUCUGUCAAGUCGGAUGUGAAAUCCCCGGGCUCAACCUGGGAACUGCAUUCGAAACUGGCAGGCUAGAGUCUUGUAGAGGGGGGUAGAAUUCCAGGUGUAGCGGUGAAAUGCGUAGAGAUCUGGAGGAAUACCGGUGGCGAAGGCGGCCCCCUGGACAAAGACUGACGCUCAGGUGCGAAAGCGUGGGGAGCAAACAGGAUUAGAUACCCGAGUAGUCCCCUGUCUCUUAUA